RNAcentral lists this ribosomal RNA (492 nucleotides) under uncultured bacterium. RNAcentral describes it as "partial 16S ribosomal RNA". It matches the Rfam family "Bacterial small subunit ribosomal RNA", at positions 29 to 507 of the family's 1533-position model. The record is from RNAcentral.
AGUGAACGCUGGCGGUAGGCCUAACACAUGCAAGUCGAACGGCAGCACAGUAAGAGCUUGCUCUUACGGGUGGCGAGUGGCGGACGGGUGAGGAAUACAUCGGAAUCUACUUUUUCGUGGGGGAUAACGUAGGGAAACUUACGCUAAUACCGCAUACGAACUACGGGUGAAAGCAUGGGAUCUUCGGACCUUGCGCGAUUGAAUGAGCCGAUGUCGGAUUAGCUAGUUGGCGGGGUAAAGGCCCACCAAGGCGACGAUCCGUAGCUGGUCUGAGAGGAUGAUCAGCCACACUGGAACUGAGACACGGUCCAGACUCCUACGGGAGGUAGCAGUGGGGAAUAUUGGACAAUGGGCGCAAGCCUGAUCCAGCCAUACCGCGUGGGUGAAGAAGGCCUUCGGGUUGUAAAGCCCUUUUGUUGGGAAAGAAAAGCAGCAGGUUAAUACCCCGCUGUUCUGACGGUACCAAAAGAAUAAGCACCGGCUAACUUCGUG